GAAUUUCGGACAAUGGGGGCAACCCUGAUCCAGCCAUCCAGCGUGUGCGAUGAAGGCCUUCGGGUUGUAAAGCACUUUUGGCAGGGCAGAAAAGGAUCUGGCUAAUACAUGGAGCUGCUGACGGUCACUGCAGAACAACCACAGGCUACCUACGUGCCAGCAGCCGCGGUAAUACGUAGGGUGCAAGCGUUAAUCGGAAUUACUGGGCGUAAGGCGUGCGCAGGCGGUUUGGCAAGAAGGAUAUGAAAUCCCAGGGCUUAACCUUGGAACUGCAUUCUUAACUGCCAGGCUAGAGUAUGUCAGAGGGGGGUAGAAUUCCACGUGUAGCAGUGAAAUGCGUAGAGAUGUGGAGGAAUACCGAUGGCGAAGGCAGCCCCCUGGGAUAAUACUGACGCUCAUGCACGAAAGCGUGGGGAGCAAACA
Molecule: ribosomal RNA, 423 nt
Filed under: uncultured bacterium
Lineage: Bacteria
Description: partial 16S ribosomal RNA
Rfam family: Bacterial small subunit ribosomal RNA
Source: RNAcentral